This 418-nucleotide ribosomal RNA is filed under the name uncultured bacterium. RNAcentral's name for it is "bacterial SSU rRNA". It matches the Rfam family "Bacterial small subunit ribosomal RNA", at positions 355 to 773 of the family's 1533-position model. The record is from RNAcentral.
UGGGGAAUAUUGGACAAUGGGCGGAAGCCUGAUCCAGCAACGCCGCGUGAGGGAUGACGGCCUUCGGGUUGUAAACCUCUUUCAGCACCGACGAAGCUCCACUUUUUGGUGGUUUGACGGUAGGUGCAGAAGAAGGACCGGCCAACUACGUGCCAGCAGCCGCGGUAAUACGUAGGAUGCAAGCGUUGUCCGGAAUUAUUGGGCGUAAAGAGCGCGCAGGCGGCCUUUCAAGUCAGAUGUGAAAUAACCAGGCUUAACCUGGUGGGGUCAUUUGAAACUGGGGGGCUAGAGUACAGCAGAGGAUAGCGGAAUUCCCGGUGUAGUGGUGAAAUGCGUAGAUAUCGGGAGGAACACCAGUGGCGAAGGCGGCUAUCUGGGCUGCAACUGACGCUGAGGCGCGAAGGCUAGGGGAGCAAAC